RNAcentral lists this ribosomal RNA (491 nucleotides) under uncultured bacterium. Its description in RNAcentral is "partial 16S ribosomal RNA". It matches the Rfam family "Bacterial small subunit ribosomal RNA", at positions 28 to 507 of the family's 1533-position model. The record is from RNAcentral.
GAUGAACGCUGGCUACAGGCUUAACACAUGCAAGUCGAGGGGAAACGACGGGGAAGCUUGCUUCCCCGGGCGUCGACCGGCGCACGGGUGAGUAACGCGUAUCCAACCUGCCUCUGACUGAGGGAUAACCCGUCGAAAGUCGGCCUAAUACCUCAUGGUAUCGUCUGCGGGCAUCCAACGACGAUUAAAGAUUUCAUCGGUCAGGGAUGGGGAUGCGUCUGAUUAGCUUGUUGGCGGGGUAACGGCCCACCAAGGCUACGAUCAGUAGGGGUUCUGAGAGGAAGGUCCCCCACAUUGGAACUGGGACACGGUCCAAACGCCUACGGGAGGCAGCAGUGAGGAAUAUUGGUCAAUGGGCGAGAGCCUGAACCAGCCAAGUAGCGUGCAGGAAGACGGCCCUAUGGGUUGUAAACUGCUUUUAUGCGGGGAAAAAGUGAGGGACGUGUCCCUCAUUGCAGGUACCGCAUGAAUAAGGACCGGCUAAGUCCGUG